This 438-nucleotide ribosomal RNA is filed under the name Paracoccidioides brasiliensis. RNAcentral describes it as "SSU rRNA". It matches the Rfam family "Bacterial small subunit ribosomal RNA", at positions 359 to 865 of the family's 1533-position model. The record is from RNAcentral. Lineage: Eukaryota; Fungi; Ascomycota; Eurotiomycetes; Onygenales; Ajellomycetaceae.
GUAACUUGGAAGAAUGUAAGUGUAUUAUAGUAAUACAGUAACGAUUAACUCGUAUAAAAUUCUAAAUAGGAUAAUGAUAAUGACAAUUUCCUAUUUAUAAGUCUUGACCAAAUUACGUGCCAGCAGUCGCGGUAAUACGUAGAAGACUAGUGUUAGUCAUCUUUAUUAGGUUUAAAGGGUACCUAGACGGUAAAUUAAACUCUAAAUGAGUACUUUUUUACUAGAGUUUUAUGUGAGAAGGAAGAAUUUCUGGAGUAGUGAUGAAAUACCUUGAUACCAGAAGGACUGGUAACGGCGAAGGCAUCCUUCUAUGUAAAAACUGACGUUGAGGGACGAAGGCUUGGGUAGCAAUAAGGAUUAGAUACCCUAGUAGUCCAAGCAGAAAAUGAUGAAUGUCAUAGGCUAGAUAAUAUUUAGUCUAUAAAUGAAAGUGUAAGC